CCCUCGGGCUGGCGGAGGCGCCGGAGGAGCCCCCGAGCUGCAGCCGUCUCCCUCGGGCUGCUGCCGGUGCUGCGGGCGGAGGCGGCUCCGCCGCGUGUUGGGCGCUGCGAGCAGGGAGCGCUGCGGUAUCGCCGGCAUGACGGGGUUGCUGCCUGCGUUAGUGCUCGUGGCUCUUUGUGCCGUGACAGCGGAUGGAGCGGCGCUGAGCGGUAAAGCCAGAGAUGGCCGGGAGAAUGCCCAGCGCAGGGAGCGGGCGGGCUGUAUGCUUCGGAUGGCACAGGAUACUCAGAAAAUAUGUCUCCCUUAGAGUCCCACAGAAACGUUCUCAGUGCGAUCUCUAUCAAGUGCUAUGAGUCUUGAUCAAUUGGAGAAGAGCCCAAGAGAAAUUUUUCAUCCCUUGAUAUAAAAGGGAUCGGUGAAUUUUAACUUUGGAGUCCCCUAUGCUAAGGAUGCUCAGCUUACAGGUGAUGAAAUGUUCAGUAAUGUAUUUGCUGCAGCUCUGCUUACCCAAGCUUUGGGUUCCUUCUGUCCCACUGGGAGUUGCCCAAUUUGGUUGCAUCUGGUGAAAUUCACCCUGAGACCUUACAGAAGCAGCUCCAACUACGUGAGAGCCAUUUGCAGUUCUCUCCAGACGCCUGGAGAAUGGGCGACGUUUCUGAGGAUCCGGCGAGCGUGCCUCUAUCAAAACUCAGUCUGUGAAGUUUCUGGGGAAAACCCUUCUGUGUCCUGAAGGGUUCAAACUCUGGGAAAGACUCUCGUGUCCUUGUCGUCGGGCUCGGUGCUGUCCAAGAAGAUACGGGGACUAAAAAAAUCAUAAGAAGCAAAAUACGACUGCAGGGAAAAGAAGCUGGAGAGAACAGAAGAAAUGGAAUUGGGACGACGCCUCGGCCAGCCCCUCUGUGCCAUCGUCUCCUGAAUCUGCAGCAGAGCAGUUCCAGUCCAUCCGGGCACGUGUAAUCCAGUUCCUGAUGAUCUGAGCACACAGAGCAGCGCUCAGCUGCUGUGGGGGGCUCA
Long non-coding RNA from Melospiza melodia melodia, 1014 nucleotides. RefSeq lists it as uncharacterized. The transcript has 7 exons. NCBI's taxonomy places the organism in Eukaryota, Metazoa, Chordata, Aves, Passeriformes, Passerellidae. The record is from RefSeq and is a predicted model, not a curated record.